UUAAGUAAGGAAGGGCGUACGGCGAAUGCCUUGCCACUCGAAACUGAAGAAGGACGCGCCAAACUGCGAAAAGCUCCGUGAAGCUGUAAGGAAGCGAAGAAGCGGAGGUGUCCGAAUGGGGGAACCCGGCAGCAGACAUGAGCUGUCAUCUGCAGGUGAAUACAUGGCCUGCAAGAGAGGUACCCGGCGAACUGAAACAUCUAAGUAGCCGGAGGAAAAGAAAACAACAGUGAUUCCCUGAGUAGCGGCGAGCGAAAGGGGAGAAGCCCAAACCGGUCCGAGGGCCGGGGUUGAAGGACCAUGAUAUGGCAAGAACGAGGAUAGGAGAACGGGAUCGAAAGCCCGGCCGAAGAAGGUGAAAGCCCUGUAACCGAAAUCCAAGGGAAGCCUAAUGGGAUCCUGAGUACGGCGAGACACGAGAAAUCUUGUCGGAAGCAGGCGGGACCAUCCGCCAAGGCUAAAUAUAAACGAGUGAGCGAUAGUGAACCAGUACCGUGAGGGAAAGGUGAAAAGAACCGCGGGAGCGGAGUGAAAGAGAACCUGAAACCGUAUGCCUACAAGAAGUCAGAGCCCGUUAAGGGGUGAUGGCGUGCCUUUUGUAGAAUGAACCGGCGAGUUGCGACAGACUGCGAGGUUAAGGAGGAAAGACCGGAGCCGAAGCGAAAGCGAGUCUUAAUAGGGCGAAAGUAGGAUGUUGCAGACCCGAAACCGGGUGAUCUAGCCAUGAGCAGGUUGAAGUUGAGGUGAAACUCAAUGGAGGACCGAACCGACUACCGUUGAAAAGUUAGCGGAUGACUUGUGGCUAGGGGAGAAAUUCCAAUCGAACCCGGAGAUAGCUGGUUCUCCCCGAAAUAGCUUUAGGGCUAGCGUCGGAAAGAACCUUAGUGAAGGUAGAGCACUGAAUGUGUGAUGGCCCCAUCCCGGGGUACUGAAUACAAUCAAACUGCGAAUGUCAUUAAGGAUGUCCGGCAGUCAGACUGUGAGUGAUAAGGUCCAUGGUCAAGAGGGAAACAGCCCAGACCGCCAGUUAAGGUCCCAAAAUACAGGCUAAGUGGAAAAGGAUGUGGGGAUGCCCAGACAACUAGGAGGUUGGCUCAGAAGCAGCCAUCCUUUAAAGAGUGCGUAACAGCUCACUAGUCGAGUGACCCUGCGCCGAAAAUGUACCGGGGCUAAGCCUGAUACCGAAACUGCGGAUUGUAGGAAACUAUAGUGGUAGGGGAGCGUUGUAUACGAGCAGAAGCCGUACCGUGAGGAGCGGUGGAUUGUAUAGAAGUGAGAAUGCCGGUGUGAGUAGCGAGAUGUAGGUGAGAAUCCUACACACCGAAAGCCCAAGGAUUCCAGGGGAAGGUUCGUCCGCCCUGGGUAAGUCGGGACCUAAGGCGAGGCCGAAAGGCGUAGUGGAUGGAAAGCAGGCGAAAGAUUCCUGCACCCGUAUAUGGAGCGAAGGAGUGACGGAGACGGAUAGUGUGACCCUCUUAAUGGAUUGAGGGCGAAGCGAAGCGGCUGGUUACCAGGCAAAUCCGGUAACUGAAAGGCUAGAGCGUGACAGGUAAGCGAAAUCUUAGGAAAGUAGCGAAGCACAUGAUGACGGCUUCCAGGAAAAGCUUCUGGCAAUGCAUAUGCGGCCCGUACCAAAACCGACACAGGUGGGCAGGGAGAGAAUCCCGAGGUGAGCGAGAGAACUGUUGCCAAGGAACUCGGCAAAAUGACUCCGUAAGUUAGCGAGAAGGAGUGCUUAAGCAAUUAAGCCGCAGUGAAGAGGCCCAAGCGACUGUUUAACUAAAACACAGCUCUCUGCGAAGUCGCAAGACGAAGUAUAGGGGGUGACACCUGCCCGGUGCUGGAAGGUUAAGAGGAUCUGUUAAGAGCGAUCUGAAGCAGUGAUCCGAAGCCCCAGUGAACGGCGGCCGUAACUAUAACGGUCCUAAGGUAGCGAAAUUCCUUGUCAGGUAAGUUCUGACCCGCACGAAAGGUGUAACGAUUUGGGCGCUGUCUCGGCAGCAGACUCGGUGAAAUCUUAGUACCUGUGAAAAUGCAGGUUACCCGCAACUAGACGGAAAGACCCCAUGGAGCUUUACUGCAGCCUGAUAUUGAAUUCUGGUCAUACAUGUACAGGAUAGGUGGGAGACAAAGAGACGUGCACGCCAGUGUACGAGGAGUCGACGUUGGGAUACCACUCUUGUGUGACCGGGGUUCUAACCUGGUAUCGAGAACAGGUACGGGGAGAGUGUCAGGUGGGCAGUUUGACUGGGGCGGUCGCCUCCCAAAGAGUAACGGAGGCGCCCAAAGGUACGCUCAGAUUGGAUGGAAACCAAUCGUCGAGUGCAAUUGCAGAAGCGUGCUUGACUGUGAGACUUACAAGUCGAACAGGGACGAAAGUCGGGAAUAGUGAUCCGGCGGUGCCGAAUGGAAGGGCCGUCGCUCAACGGAUAAAAGCUACCCUGGGGAUAACAGGCU
RNAcentral lists this ribosomal RNA (2457 nucleotides) under human gut metagenome. RNAcentral's name for it is "bacterial LSU rRNA". It matches the Rfam family "Bacterial large subunit ribosomal RNA", at positions 3 to 2483 of the family's 2925-position model. The record is from RNAcentral.